Molecule: long non-coding RNA, 487 nt
Organism: Rhipicephalus sanguineus (brown dog tick)
Lineage: Eukaryota; Metazoa; Arthropoda; Arachnida; Ixodida; Ixodidae
Exons: 3
Source: RefSeq, a predicted model, not a curated record
GGGAGGACCGGGACGACAUGUGGCAGGAGCUAGUAGCGCUUUUGAACGAAGAAUUCCCUGCGCGUAACACCAGAGCCCAGUGGCAGGCCCAAUGGAGGAAUGAGCGCUACUAUUCGCAGCAGGGUCUUAACAAACUCCGAGGGCAGCAGAGGUGAGUGCGAGCACAAUUGUAUUGUGGUCGGUCAUCUUACACGUCCCGCUUGUGCUUUACAGCGGCACCCGAGGCGGCCAGAUUUCGGAUUACCGCGGCCGUGUCGUGCUCGACAGAGACGAGUGUGCGAGGCCCAGAGUUCGGGUGGUCUGAAUCGGUGAGCCCUGCUCCAGCUGCUGCUGGUGUGGCUGAAGAGGAUGUGGCCCAGGAUCUUCCCCGUGCCCCAACUCCUCAUGCCGCAGCUGCGAGAUGGGGGCAACCGGCAGGCCGAGGCGCUGGAGUUACUAGCCGCAAACACCAGGCGGCAGGGCCAGGCAUCAUUGGAAAGCUGCGCCA